Cyprinus carpio (common carp) is the source of this 2831-nucleotide RNA transcript. RefSeq lists it as uncharacterized. The record is from RefSeq and is a predicted model, not a curated record. Lineage: Eukaryota; Metazoa; Chordata; Actinopteri; Cypriniformes; Cyprinidae.
AUCUCAUGAAUAUUCAGGCCUGCGUUCGUUUUUUGACAGGUAGCCGUAAACGGAAGCGGAAAUUUCCGCUAGACUCUGGAAAAGCCUUUCUUCUUCUCUCCCGUUCAUUCUCCCGAAAAGGCCAUAAAGUCCACAUAGGGAAAAGCUCAUGGACUGAAGUCACUGUUAGCAAUUUGAGCAAUUCAGUCAACAACCAUUCCUGCAUCCUUUAUUUAUCAGGUCUAGGACAAAACGGCUAUCAUGACUCACUCAAUGCUGCGACGACAACUGAAAAAUCUUGUUCAGAACUUCUCUGAGGCAGAGGUCAAGGUUCGAGAAGCGACUUCUAAUGACCCCUGGGGGCCAUCGAGCUCCCAGAUGGCUGACAUCUCAGAUCUAACCUACAAUGUGGUGGCCUGUAACGAGAUUUUGGGCAUGCUCUGGAAGCGUCUCAAUGAUGACAAGAACUGGAGGCACGUGUACAAGGCUUUAACCCUUCUUGAAUAUCUGUUGAAAACGGGGUCUGAGCGCAUCCCUCAGCAGAGUGCGGAGAACAUUCACAUUUUCAAAGCACUUACAGAAUACCGCUUCACAGACAAGGAUGGAAAGGACCAGGGGGUGAAUGUGAGAGAAAAGGCUAAGAUAGUGUUGGUGCUGAUUGAGGAUGAGGAAAAGCGGAAAGAGGAGAGAGAUUUUGCUAUGAAGACAAAAGACAAGCUGACAAAGGCUCCUAGUGCGUCAUCCGCUACAGGACCAGAUAAAGAAAAAGCAGAGAUCCCGCCAUAUACAGGGCUUCCCUCCCUGGACAACAUCCCAUCGGUGGCUGACCUGACCGCCGCUAUGGCCAAGAAGAAGGAGGAGCAGAAACGUCUGGAGGCCGAGAGGAAAGAGGCAGAGAGACGGGCUAAAGAGUGUGACACAGAGCCAGAUCUUUGGGAAAAAGCAGCGACAGCAGCACCUUCAUCCAACUCGGACCCCUGGGGAGCCCCAUCUGAUGCAUCCAACGAAUCCGCCCCUGCUACCAACGACCCUUGGGGGCCACCGUCUGAUGAUUCAAAGGAAUCCAGUCUAGCUACCAAUGAUCCUUGGGGUGAAUCUGCUGAUGGGACGAACGGAUCUGCACCUGCAUCCAGUGAUCCAUGGGGAGGAGCUGCCAGUGCCAAUAAUGAUUCUUCACCUGCUUCCAGUGAUCCCUGGGGAGGAUCUACGAAUGUAGAGAAAAGUUCUCCACCUGCUGCGAAUGACCCAUGGGGCGACUCUGCUGGAUUUUCAGAGGAUAAAGCCCUGUCAGCAAACGAUCCCUGGGGGGUUUCAGCUGAAAUGGCGAAAGACUCUGAUGCAGCAGUGUCAGAUCCUUGGGGGGCACCUGCGGAUAGUAUACAGAAUUCAGCACCUGCAUCCUCUGACCCCUGGGGGGCGCCGUUAGAAGCACCAUCAGCUACAUCUGAUCCAUUUGGUGAUGGUUCAAAAGCAGAUGAUGACCCUUGGGGCACAACAGCAUCUUCACCCCCAACUGCGACUGACCCCUGGGGUACCCCAUCAGCCCCAACUGAUGACCUUUUCGGUGAUGGAGGCAGACCAGAUCCUUGGGGUAGUUCCUCUGAGAAUGGUACUUUUGGAACAGGUGACACUGCUGAUGAGACUAAAAAGCCAGCGUCCUUCCUCGGAGAAGGUGCUUCAUUGGUGGACUUGGACUCUCUUAUGUCAGUCAAGCCCAAACCUAAACAGCCCCCUCUCAACGCCAUCCCCACCCAAAAAGCCCCGGGUUUUUUGUCAGCUGCAGGCAUGACCAGGCCAUUGGGCGGCAGCAUAUCCAAUGCAGCCGGUUCUACAGCACAGCCUUCAAACCCAAAUUAUUUUAGUUUUAACUCCAUGACCCCCGGUUCAAAUGGCCUGUCCCUAAACCCAGCCUUCGGGGUUCCUGUCACCCAUAUGGCAUCUCCAACCCAGAAUACAAGCCAUUCAGCUUUGACUAUGUCCAACAUGGGCUUUUCCAUGGCUAGCCCUAGAAUGGUACAACCCAGCACUGCAGGUACUCUCACUGCCUCACAUGGAGGAGAUGAAUGUAACCUGGUUGUAGGCGAAGGGAGAGAGAGAUUUAAAUGGAAGAAUGGAAAGAGGCAGAAUCGAAGGAACAGAUGGACUUGGGCGGAUUAAGUGAAAUCUGGGUGGGGUUGUCAUAAACAUUCACUCGAGGUUGAGAAUGAAUAAAAGAAAAUACACAGUAAGAGAGAGUGGGGUUAUAAAAGUGAAACAGAGGUGAAGUGUCUUUACGGCUGGAGGUGUCUGGGGGGCUCUGGACAGACCAGGAGAGACAGAUGUACCUUUCUGCCAAAGAUUAACAGAGAUCAUGAAGGAUUACAAAAAAAUAGAUGUUGGUGAUUAAGACAUGGAAUAAGUACAAACCUCCCCGAAAAUUUUAAUCUCUCCAAGAAAGAGACCAGGUGAGAGAUGGGCAAAAUAAAAAAAAAGAACAAGGUUGUUCUUGAUAGACUGCAUGUCUUAAGACCAAUUUCAUCUCUGUGCUGAACAUGCAUACAAAGAACAUACAUCUGAGAGACACCUCUGAAUAUUCAGCAUGAACAUUUGUGAUGGUCAGCCUCAUCUCCAUUGACUUUGAGGAUGUAUUUGCCACAUUUGUUGGUCGUAGACCAAGGAAACAUGUUUAACACCUUCUGAGCCAUUUCUGCAUUUCACCAACUAAAUUUUUAUAUGGAAACCUAAGUAUCAGGUCCUGUCUGUAUCAUUCCACCAUGUUGGAGCAUUUGUCCCGCAGGAAUCGGUCGUUGCUGUCUCUCUCGCUGACCUCUCUGGCCCUAGCGCUCUCUGUUUUGGCCUUCUGUACCUCAUAC